AAAGACCUUGUCCUCAAGGUCGUGGUUGAGCCACAAACUUUGGAAAUCGAUGCUUGAUAUAGCUCCAAUCCUCCCAAGAUGCUUCAUUUUCACUAAGAUUAGCCCACUGAACCAAUAGUUUCACUCUAACUCCAUUGUUGACCCUUACAAUUUUCCUCUGAAGAAUGGCGAUUGGUUGAAUCAAAACAUUUCCUUCAAUAUCGUAGAGAGGAGGUUGUUGUGCUGGAAUAAUGGUGGGACCUAUGCAACGCUUCAGCUGCGAGACAUAAAACACUGGGUGUAUUUGCAACCCAGGUGGAAUCUUUAAUCGGUAAGCUACAGAUCCUAUUUUCUAUUCAAUAUUAUAUGGGCCAUAGUAUUUGGAACACAAUUUCACAUUUUUGCCCACAUCUAUAGAGGAUUAUCGAUUAGGCUGUAGCUUUAGGUAAACUUGG
This 434-nucleotide long non-coding RNA is filed under the name Nicotiana benthamiana. Its description in RNAcentral is "long non-coding RNA (NBEN_LNC025213)". The record is from RNAcentral. Lineage: Eukaryota; Viridiplantae; Streptophyta; Magnoliopsida; Solanales; Solanaceae.